This 492-nucleotide ribosomal RNA is filed under the name Triticum aestivum (bread wheat). RNAcentral's name for it is "partial small subunit ribosomal RNA". Lineage: Eukaryota; Viridiplantae; Streptophyta; Magnoliopsida; Poales; Poaceae. The record is from RNAcentral.
AUGUCAUUGCUAACAUCUAGACAUCUCUCGCUUCAAUUUUGGGUGGAUGUUUACACAUGCAUUGAGCAAAACAGACUAAACUGGAUCAGGAAUAAUCAAGGGAAGCUACGAACUGAACUUUACAGUGGACUGCAGGACGCGAUUGAGCAAGGGGACACCAGAACAGAGCAGGUCGGAAAGAGGAUAAUUGUACCUUCAUCUUAUAUAGGAGGUAGAAGAAACAAGGCACAAAACUUGCAAGACGCAUUUGCAAUAUGCCGUUGGGCUGGAUAUCCAGACCUAUUUAUAACAUUCACAUGCAAUGCAAAGUGGCCUGAGAUCCAAUACAUGCUAGAUGAAGCAGGAGGAGGGCUCAAGCCAGCCGACCGACCAGAUAUUGUUGACCGAGUAUUCAUGAUAAAACUGAAGGAGCUAAUGAGAGAUAUCGUUGUGAAGAAACAGUUUGGAGAAACUAUAGCAAGUAAGAUCAGUCGACUACUAAUCGCUAACUAA